CCUACGGGGGGCAGCAGUGGGGAAUAUUGGACAAUGGGGGCAACCCUGAUCCAGCCAUGCCGCGUGUGUGAAGAAGGCCCUCGGGUUGUAAAGCACUUUCAGUGAGGAAGAACGCCUGGUGGUUAAUACCCAUCAGGAAAGACAUCACUCACAGAAGAAGCACCGGCUAACUCCGUGCCAGCAGCCGCGGUAAUACGGAGGGUGCGAGCGUUAAUCGGAAUUACUGGGCGUAACGCGCGCGUAGGUGGCUUGAUAAGCCGGUUGUGAAAGCCCCGGGCUCAACCUGGGAACGGCAUCCGGAACUGUCCAGCUAGAGUGCAGGAGAGGAAGGUAGAAUUCCCGGUGUAGCGGUGAAAUGCGUAGAGAUCGGGAGGAAUACCAGUGGCGAAGGCGGCCUUCUGGACUGACACUGACACUGAGGUGCGAAAGCGUGGGUAGCAAACAGGAUUAGAUACCCCUGUAGUC
This 465-nucleotide ribosomal RNA is filed under the name Vreelandella stevensii. RNAcentral describes it as "partial 16S ribosomal RNA". It matches the Rfam family "Bacterial small subunit ribosomal RNA", at positions 338 to 795 of the family's 1533-position model. Lineage: Bacteria; Pseudomonadati; Pseudomonadota; Gammaproteobacteria; Oceanospirillales; Halomonadaceae. The record is from RNAcentral.